ACGGGAGGCAGCAGUGGGGGAUAUUGCACAAUGGGGGAAACCCUGAUGCAGCGACGCCGCGUGAGUGAAGAAGUAUUUCGGUAUGUAAAGCUCUAUCAGCAGGGAAGAAAAUGACGGUACCUGACUAAGAAGCUCCGGCUAAAUACGUGCCAGCAGCCGCGGUAAUACGGAGGAUGCAAGCGUUAUCCGGAUUUAUUGGGUUUAAAGGGUGCGUAGGCGGACUGACAAGUCAGGGGUGAAAGCCCGGUGCUCAACACCGGAACUGCCCUUGAUACUGCCAGCCUUGAAUUCGGAUGCCGUGGGAGGAAUGAGUAGUGUAGCGGUGAAAUGCAUAGAUAUUACUCAGAACACCGAUUGCGAAGGCAUCUCACGAAUCCGACAUUGACGCUGAGGCACGAAAGCGUGGGGAUCAAACAGGAUUAGAUACCCUGGUA
RNAcentral lists this ribosomal RNA (434 nucleotides) under uncultured Lachnospiraceae bacterium. RNAcentral describes it as "bacterial SSU rRNA". It matches the Rfam family "Bacterial small subunit ribosomal RNA", at positions 341 to 792 of the family's 1533-position model. The record is from RNAcentral. Lineage: Bacteria; Bacillati; Bacillota; Clostridia; Lachnospirales; Lachnospiraceae.